Molecule: ribosomal RNA, 301 nt
Filed under: uncultured bacterium
Lineage: Bacteria
Description: partial 16S ribosomal RNA
Rfam family: Bacterial small subunit ribosomal RNA
Source: RNAcentral
CAGUAGCCGCGGGAAUACAGAGGGUGCAAGCGUUAAUCGGAAUUACUGGGCGUAAAGCGCGCGUAGGUGGUUUGUUAAGUUGGAUGUGAAAGCCCCGGGCUCAACCUGGGAACUGCAUCCAAAACUGGCAAGCUAGAGUACGGUAGAGGGUGGUGGAAUUUCCUGUGUAGCGGUGAAAUGCGUAGAUAUAGGAAGGAACACCAGUGGCGAAGGCGACCACCUGGACUGAUACUGACACUGAGGUGCGAAAGCGUGGGGAGCAAACAGGAUUAGAUACCCCUGUAGUCCCUGUCCCUUAUAC